Molecule: ribosomal RNA, 367 nt
Filed under: uncultured bacterium
Lineage: Bacteria
Description: bacterial SSU rRNA
Rfam family: Bacterial small subunit ribosomal RNA
Source: RNAcentral
GACGAACGCUGACGGCGUGCUUAACACAUGCAAGUCGAGCGGUAAGGCCCUUUCGGGGGUACACGAGCGGCGAACGGGUGAGUAACACGUGGGUGACCUGCCCUCAGCUCUGGGAUAAGCCUGGGAAACCGGGUCUAAUACCGGAUAUGACUCCAUGACGCAUGUUGUGGGGUGGAAAGCCUUGUGCGGCUGAGGAUGGGCCCGCGGCCUAUCAGCUUGUUGGUGGGGUGAUGGCCUACCAAGGCGACGACGGGUAGCCGGCCUGAGAGGGCGACCGGCCACACUGGGACUGAGACACGGCCCAGACUCCUACGGGAGGCAGCAGUGGGGAAUCUUGCGCAAUGGGCGAAAGCCUGACGCAGCGACG